GAGGUACUCCCUCCGUCCGAAAAUACUUGUCAUCAAAAUGAAUAAAAGAAGUAUUUCCAGACGAUACAUCUUCUUUUAUUCAUUUUGAUGACAAGUAUUUUCGGACGGAGGGAGUACUUG
Triticum aestivum (bread wheat) is the source of this 120-nucleotide non-coding RNA. NCBI's taxonomy places the organism in Eukaryota, Viridiplantae, Streptophyta, Magnoliopsida, Poales, Poaceae. The record is from Rfam.